Molecule: ribosomal RNA, 464 nt
Filed under: uncultured bacterium
Lineage: Bacteria
Description: bacterial SSU rRNA
Rfam family: Bacterial small subunit ribosomal RNA
Source: RNAcentral
GACGAACGCUGGCGGCGUGCCUAACACAUGCAAGUCGAACGGAGUCGGCCCCGCAAGGGACUGACUUAGUGGCGAACGGGUGAGUAACGCGUGAGCAACCUGCCUUUCAGUGGGGGACAACAGUUGGAAACGACUGCUAAUACCGCAUAAUGCAUUUUGACCGCAUGAUCGAGAUGCCAAAGAUUUAUUGCUGAAAGAUGGGCUCGCGUCUGAUUAGAUAGUUGGUGGGGUAACGGCCCACCAAGUCGACGAUCAGUAGCCGGACUGAGAGGUUGAACGGCCACAUUGGGACUGAGAUACGGCCCAGACUCCUACGGGAGGCAGCAGUGGGGAAUAUUGGGCAAUGGGGGGAAACCCUGACCCAGCAACGCCGCGUGAAGGAGAAGGCUUUCGGGUUGUAAACUUCUUUUACCAGGGACGAAGAAAGUGACGGUACCUGGAGAAAAGCCACGGCUAACUACGUG